Molecule: long non-coding RNA, 396 nt
Filed under: Helianthus annuus (common sunflower)
Lineage: Eukaryota; Viridiplantae; Streptophyta; Magnoliopsida; Asterales; Asteraceae
Description: sRNA HanXRQr2_Chr08g0351191
Source: RNAcentral
GUGUGUGUGUCGUGACUUAGAGAGAGAAAGAGGGGGAAACUCCUUCAAACCCUAAAACUUGAGAAAUUUGAGAAAUUGAAUGAACUAGAAGGUGAUUUGUUUGCAUGUUUGAAGUUCCAGAGCAUACAAGAUCACUACAACAUAAGGCAACUCAAGUGAAGCUCUAGGAGCUCAAGUCGGGACAGACACGCGUUUGAAAGGAAAACUUUGAGGUAAACUUAAAAAUCAGGCACCAGAUGGAGGACCAAGCUACUCAAAGAACCGAACAUACUCGAAUGCCUACUAACUUCUGUCUUUUUUUGUUCAUGUUUCUGUAAAAUGAUGACUUAUACUUUGAAGCAAACCAUUACGCUACGUUUGUUACACAUGUAUUUUGGUUUAAUCACGAAAUCAAUU